CUGACAAGCUUUCCCUGAGUGUUCCAUUCGGAAUAAACUCAUAUACCAGCACCUGUUCUCCUUGUUCAAAACAAAAUCCCAAAAGGCCAACAACAUUUUUGUGAUGAACUCGCGAGAGCAACUCGAUUUCAGUCUUGAACUCAAGGCCACCCUGCAUUGAUCCUUGCUGAGCUCUUUUGAUUGCCACCACUUGUCCAUCAGAAAGCAUGCCCCUGUAAACCUAUGGACAACCAACCAAAAGGUGAAGAAAAAAAACAUCCUUUAACUUGAAGCAGAAUUUCAUAGAUGUUACUGAAAUACUUGAAUUAAUAUACCUUCCCGUAUCCACCAGAUCCUAUCUCAUUACUGUCAGAGAAAUUAUUUGUGCAUUUCUUAAGCUCAUCAAAAGAAAAACAUCUUGCUCCCUUUAACUGUGGUGCUCCACCACUGUCUUUUCCGCUUGGUGCCCAAGAAGCUAGAAGAUAGAGAAAAGGAGUGAUACAAGCAAACCAACUUCUAAUGUCAAUGACAGAAUUUCAAUGUAUCCAAUCAUAAACAACAAGAAUAAUUAAUUACCAAAAGGUCGGCUUAAUCCAAUGGCUCUUUCUGCACGUUUCUUUUGCCUAAUGGCAUAUAUUCCCACUACCACGAGGCCCAGUACAAGAGCUACACAACUAACUGAUGUCCCAAUAAUAACACCAGUGCUCAUAGAACUUUUAUUCCCACCUGAAACAAUUUUGAGUUUUUAUUGUCAGUUUAAUCAAUCUUCUAAUGCAGGGAAAUGGCAUACGAAGUAACGAUGCGAUUUGAAUUACCCGGGAAAGUAUAAGGAUAUGGAAUAAAAUAAUAGGGUCCAAACCCCUCCGGUGGCUUUUGAUUUUGGUAGUUCAAAUCUAAACCAAUCCUCAUAAUCUCUGACCUAUUAAAAUACAUUCCUGUAGGUGGAAAGAGUGCCAGCUGAAUUUGAAGAUAGUCAUGAUUGUCGAAGAAAGGGUUUUCAAGAGAAACUGAACCAGGAAUGAGGCCAAGUAUUUCCCAUAGAAUCGUUUCUAGUGCGUGAAACAUAGUCACAUUUGGCAAUUCCCUGAAAGGGGGUGCUCUGAAAUACAAUGUUCCUUUGAAAGGAUAUGCACAUUGACAACUCUGAGGGCUGGGCUUCUGAUUAUCGGGGCAUGUAAUGCGUGCACAAUUCGAGCUAGUAGUAUACGUUUCUGUAUCUUGUUGCGGAAGCUGACAGAAUUUAGUGACGGCAGUUCCACUGGUGCAAAAUGGGUUCUCUACAAGUCUGCAACAUGUAAAAGUGACAACUAAGAAUGGUGUUGAAAAACACACAACCUUAGAAAAUCAAGAUCAAGGCCCAUGAACUGUCUCACAUUAAUGUAUGUUUGUAUUUAUAACCCAGAGUUAUUUUAGGAAUCUGAUUGUGCUGCAGAUCAACAAGCUGCAGUUGUGGACUGAUGCUAUCACCCAAGUUCAAUGUAUCGUUAAACGCAUUGUUUUUCAGUUUCCUGUCAAGGGUUAGAAAAAAAACAUGAAGGGCAAGUUUCCUAAAGUUACAGUCAAAACUUGAUGCUUUCUUCGGUAUUCUCCUUAAACUUACACUUGCUGCAAUGUUUUGAUGCCGAACAUCUUCUCUGGCACAGUCCCUUCAAGUGCUCCAAAUUCUAAAACGCUGUGUUCCAUAAAAGUAGAGAAUUUCAACAAAAAAUUACAACAAAGUUUUCAGGGUGUACUUUUCCAAGACUCAUUCAUAGAUACUAAGACAUUUUUGUGUAACCUCCUAAGGACUUACAUAGUGGUGAUUGAGGGUAAGUUCGAGAACCAAAGUGGAGCUUCUGAUGGGUCAAAUGAGUUGUUACUCAGGUCUCUGAAGUAAAAUCAUUAGGAUUUAUCAGUACAACAAAAGAACAACUUGCAGGAAACUUGAAACUUGAAAUGACAGCUCCAUGCCAUCUUACUCACACAGUAUGGAGGGACCUCAUUCCAGUUAAGUCAGGUAAAGGGCCUGUCAAUUUGUUGUGAGCCAAAUUUCUGGAAGAGAACAAAAACUCAUGUAAAAGAUGAUUAAGAAUAAUUAAGGUAACUGUUAACAGCACAUUAGAAUAUCCUCUUAGAGACUUGAUACUCACAGUUCAUUGACAUGUGUUAGGUUGCUGAUAUUUGAGGGGACAUUUCCUGUCAGAGCAUUUCUAUCAAGCCGACUGUUGCAAACAAGAAGGUUUUGAAUCCAAUAAGUAUCAAGAAGCAGAUACUUAUAUGUGAAAGAAUAACAAAAUGGAGCUGUUUUUGUACUCACAGAACCUCAAGAGUCUGAACGAGUGCUAUGGUUGAUGGAAUCUCCCGAAUAAAUUGAUUUCCAUCAAACAAACUGCAGUUGAAGAAUGACAUGCAGUUAGAUAAAUAUAAGUACAGAACAUAAACUGAUAGAUGGCAUCUGGCUAAAUUAAAAAAAUGAUCGAAGGGAUCAACUUACAUGUGUAUCAGUUUCAUCUUAGAGCUGAAAAGUUUGGGAUGAAUGGUACCUGAAAGGUUGUUCUUGCUGAAAUGGCUGCAUGUCCAUAUUAUCAGUUUAAUGUUUAUGCAAUAAGCAAUGGCAUAAUCCCUAUUAGAAUUUCAUCUUUUCACAAUGGAGAGAGUUUGGGAAAUGGAAAAAUACUCACAAGUGUUCAGCCUUCAAUAAAUUGUCUAAGCCUGAGGUAAGGGGGGUUGAAAUUGGUAGAGUUCCAGUCAACUGAUUGUCUACCAGGUCCAACCAGUUAAGUUUGGAGAGUUUACCCAAAGAAGGAGGUAUUUGACCAGUAAAUUUAUUCGUAUUCAGAGCCCUGAAAAGAACAAAAGAUUUAUAUAAAGUUGGGAAAGAAAAAACUUAAAAUGGUUUGCACUAACAGUAUGAUUAUCAAUUCAAUUCUUACAAGAAAGUUAGCUCUCCAAGAUUGCCCAAUUCCUCUGGAAUAUUGCCACUGAAGCCGCAGCCCGCUAGGAUCCUAAAAGAUGAAAAGAGUCCUGUAUACUUAUCCAAUAUACAAACUUAUAUUGCACAUACAAAGUUCAAAAGGUGCAAAUGUGAAAAUUGCUUGCUAAUUUGUUCUUACAGGAUAUUUAACUUGCUCAGAUCUCCUAAUCGUGGAGACAGAGAACCCGUGAGGCCUUUGUUGAAUGAAAGGUCCCUGCAAUGUUAACGUUUCCACUUCGUUACAGAAGGAUGCCAUGCUAAUCGAAGAUUGAGUGAUAACAAAAUAAUUGAUACUGCAAAAGAAAUAUGUUUUAUGCAUUUGUAUACAUACUGAAUCUGUUGCAUUGCAUCUGUGUUCAAUUCAUAAUGUGCUGCAAACAUAAUGCUGGUACAAAGAGGAGCAAUUAUACUCACAAGGAUCUUAAUUCAGAGAGUCCCCCGAUAUCGCCUUCAAUUUGUCCUUUCAAGUCCAUUGCUGAUAAUCCCCUGCACAUAAAAAAGUGCAAGGUUGAAAAUUUGUGUAAGAAAGUAGUUCACCAAUGCCCAGAACUAUAAGGAUCACAUGAAAAUUCAAAGAUGAACAAUGCUCACAAUGCGGUCACCCUCGAAUUGUUGCAGGUGACUCCUUCCCAGUUCAUUCCACAGGGAUCAUUUGACUUGUCGUUCCAGCUGGGUGGAAGAUUCGUCCAUGCCCCCUUCAAGGAUAUGAAAACAGCAGCUGGACCAACAGACUUACAAAUCAAUCUACUACCUUAACACAAAGUUUGUACACACAUAUGUGCAGGAUGUUCAACUUACAAUCAAAAUUUAGCUAAAACAUUAAGAAAAGCUUGCAUUAAACACAAUCUAAAUGGACUAAUGACCAAGUUUGCAUGCAAAAACAUGAGAAACAGGAGGAUCAACAUGAUAUUGUUUGUUACACAUAUCUAGGCCAAAGCUCAAACUACCAAAACCCCAAUUUCCCAUUAACUAGGAAAUCUUGUUUGUUACACACGACUGUCUUGACAUGGACUAUGUUUAGGGACUGUAUUGGCUUGGCUUGGCUUGGUCUAAGUUGGAUAACACUUAUCCUGCAUUUGGUGUAUGCUUGGACUAGGACUAGAUUUUUUUAUUUUUUCAAAUAUAUAUAUAUAUAUGUAUGUAUAUAUGUAUUUUAUAAUAUAUAAUAUAUAUAUAUAUCUAUAUAUAUGUAUAUAUGUAUUUUACAGUCCCGAUGUCUUGGACUACAGGGGUCCAAGAGAUUUGUGGUCAUGGAUGUAAAUUCAAUGGUUCACUCACUCUUGCACUCCUUUUAAGAAACUUUUUUGAACCAUUGGAUUAAUAUCCAACGGUGGGUGACCACAAUCUCUUGAACUCCUGUGGUCCAAGAGAUCAGGACUGUAUAAUAUAUAUGUAUAUAUACAUACAUAUAAUAUAUAUAUACAUGUAUAUAUGUAUGUUAUAAUAAUAUUAUAUAUAUAUAUAUGUAUGUGUAUAUAGGUGAAUAUAUGUAUAUUAUAAUAUACAUAGAUAUAAUACAUACAGUCCCUUUCUAUUGAGGGAUCCCUCAAAUAAAAUUAUUUGAGGGACGCCCUUUAGGGUACCCUACAAUUUUUUUCCCAAUGAUCCAAACCAUCUAUUUUUUAGAUCUUCAUUCAUAGAUCAUCCUAAUAAAAAAUUAGACAAAUCGGAAACCGUUUCGACAUCCAAUUGUGUCUUACAAAAUCAAUGAACACUGUGCUUCAAGAAAAUGCUAAAAUUUCAAUAACUUAAUUGAGUGGUCAAAUGAUAUCGGAUUCAAGUGAUUUUUUGUAGGGAUGAUCUUUGAAUGAGUAUCUACAAAAUAGACGGUUUGGAUUAGUGAAAUACAAUCCGGAGUGAGGCCUACAAGGGGUGUCCCUCAAAUAAGCUUAUUUGAGGGAUCCCUCAAUGGAAGCUCUCUGAUAAUACAUAUAUUUAUAUAUAUAUAUGUAUGUAUAUUAUAAUAUAAUAUAUAUAUAUAUGGGUAUGUAAUAAUAAUAAUAAUAUACAUAUAUAUACUUGUAUAUAUGUAUGUAUAUAUACAUAUAUAUAUAUACAAUCCCGAUCUCUUGGACUACAGGGGUCCAAGAGAUUUGUGAUCACUCACCGUUUGAUGUAAAUUCAACGGUUCAUUCACUCUUGCACUCCUUUUAAGAAACUUUUUUGAACUGUUGGAUGUUAAAUCCAACGGUAGGUGACCACAGUCUCUUGGACCCUUUGUGGUCCAAGAAAUCGGGUAUGUAGAUAUAUAUUAUAUAUAUUAUAAAAUACAUAUAUAUAAUAUAUAAUAUAUGUAUAAUAUAUGUGUAUAUAGGUGUAUCUAUAUAUUAUAAUAUAUACAUGGGUAUAAUACAUAUACAUAUAUAUAUAUAUAUUAUAAUAGAUAAUAUAUAUGGGUAUGUUAUAAUAAUAAUAUACAUGUAUAUACAUGUAUAUAUAUUAUAAUAUAUACAUAUCGGAUAAAUAUAUAAUGUAUAUGUGUAUAUGCAUAUUCUAAUACAUACAUGGGUAUAAUAUAUAUACAUAUAUAUAUAUAUACCCCUUCUAUUGAGGGAUCCCUCAAAUAUUUGAGGGACGCCCUUUAGGGUACCCUAUAAAUUUUUUUUCAACGAUCCAAACAAUCUAUUUUUUAGGUCUUCAUUCAUAGAUCAUCCUUACAAAAAAUUAGACAAAUCGGAAACCGUUUCGAUAUCUAAUUGUGUCCUACAAAAUCAAUGAACACGGUGCUUCAAGAAAGUACUAAAAUUUCAAGAACUCAAUUGAAUGAUCAAAUGAUAUCGGAUUCAAAUGAUUUUUUGUAGAGAUGAUCUUUGAAUGAGUAUCUACAAAGUAGUAGUCCCCUCCUAAGGAGGUGUUUUUGGUGGGCCCGGUAUUAGCAAUCUUAUCUAAGACUAUAAUUAAAUGAAACAAACAUGAUACUAAAUUUAGUCUAAGCCAAGCCUGUAUACCAAACAACCCCUAAAUGGACAAAUAAACAUUGAUAUCUGAGACCAUACCAUCACUGGAGUUUGUUUCAGAAAAGAUGACAUGAAUCUCAGCAGAGCAGAAAGCCAGAAAGAGCAGGAACCGCAUGGUUGCCAUGGUGGUGAAGGAGCAAGCAAAUCAAGAAAACUGGUGUGUCUGUGAGGCUGAUCAGCUAGUAAGCAGAGGUCAAAAAAAGCACAUUUCUAUUUACCCCUGAUGGUCAAAAAAGCACUUCGCAAAGACUUCCCUCCACGCAGACACACCCUUCAAUUCAAUUCCUUCCACUCUACCAACUACACCACUUGAAGAUUUUUAUUUAAUGAGUCCUUGACAGCAUGCAUGCAUGUAUGUACGUGCGCAUGUACAAGUUCCGACCAAUUCAGAGCAAGUUUUGCUUUGAAAGUUUUGCGGAUGUACAAACAUAGUUAAGCAGAAACAACUCUCUCAUGAGCAAAGCUAGCAUCUUUCGAAUGGGAACAAAGCUACACAAUUCUGAAUGUACGCCUAAAGUCUCCACUUGCAUUGAUAUAAGAGAGAAUUCAACUAAGUCAUUCAAUGGGUACAUUUGGCUUUAGGCGAAAAUGGGUCCCAGAAGCUGACAUGAAAAUCAAGGCUCUCGGGGGUGCCCGGGACGUAUUCAUGGUUUGAUCCACUUUCAUGUUGAAUGGAUGAAAAGGUUUUCAUUUUCGUAAGAAAUGGAUCAAGACAAGAUGAUCGUUUUCACAAAACAAAAAUCUAAUUCAAACAGUCAAUUUCUAUGGUGCGAAGGGUCAAAGGUUAUUCUACAAAAGAUAAAAGUAUAUUUUUUGUGCCAAGGGGUCAAAGGUUAAUAAACAAACUAGCCACAAAUUGCCGUCUAGCCAUACCAAUAAGAACCUCAAUUGAAGUUUUACCAAUUUCAUAAAAAAUAUGAGCUACAUGAAUCAAAGACUUAAUAUCCGGCAACUCAAUUGAUUAAGAGCAUUUAAAUUUAAACCCGAGAUUUUGUGUUAGAUUCUCCUCUUUCCAGAGGACACAUUGGGACAAAUUCUACUUCAGUUUGGAUGGAAAAGAAUCCUUUGUGUCCCAAAGCAAACGUAGCCUGGCCUACAUCUGGCACACCUAAAAUUAUAGUAGCAAAACCAACCAUGAACAAUAAUUAUGAUAUCUUACAGCUUCUCCUAUUCCAGUUUCUGAAUUCAGUAUCCUUCCUUUCCUAGUGCCUUCAAUAGUGAGUUUGACCUAAUUACCUUUGAGAGGGCAAUCCCAAAGCUAAUAGAAUGUUAUGAAUCCUAUGAAACAAUUCAAUUGGGUAUCUCCUUAAAGUUGUAUCGAGGCAUUUUCAGAUAACAUCCAUACAACAUGAAAGGCCGAAGAUGACAUGUUUAAAAAAAUAUAUAUUAAAAAAUAAAAGAUUAAUGGAUUUAAUGUGGCUGUCGCUACUGUUGGAGUUAUGACUAUACAAUAAUACAAUGCCACGUAUGACAGGACAUAUUUGUCUGUAGGUUGGCUUCAUUCAUGGCGUCGAAGACGAAAGACAGAGACUAAUACAAUGCCAUGUAUGAUCGGGACAUAUUUGUAUGUGCGUUGAAGACGAAAGAAAGACUAGCGGAGUGAAGGGGUAAGAUUUUUUGUCAAAUGAUCAAAACCACACAAUCUCAAUUAAUUAUAGUUAGUCAGUUGGGCUGAGGCGUUUGCAUGCGGAACUUUCAAAAGCACGAGUUCAUGACAUUGGCUUGUUUGAUAGAAGAAGCUUCACCAAUUAAAAUCUGAUCACAUGUAAACAAAGAACAAAUGGGAUAUCAAGGAGAAAGAACAAAUCUAAUCACCAAUUAAGUUACACCUUGAGGCCCAACACUUUGUGGAAUAAAGAAGGGUUUUGAAGCCUAUUAAGGGGUCCUAUUUGUUUCCUUUUAUGCGUGAACCGAUUUGGUGGGCUUGGAAGAUAAGUCAAGUCGGCCCUUGGUAAUGAGUAGAGACGACUUGACCUAGCCCUAUAUAACCUUAAGGUCAUGCUCUCAUCAGACAUGUUCUCUAACCUAUUCUCAUCAUAAAGAGAGAGCUGAAACUAGUGGCGAAGCCAGAAUUUCAUGUGUGUGAGGGCAUCUUACAAAUUAUAAAGAAUCAAAAAUUCAAACUCACAAUACAUUUGAAAAAUAGUGUAUAUAUACAUUGUAAACUUAAGUAAAUGGAGUAAUAUAUUAAAGUAAAAGGGCAAAGACAUUCACUUAAGUGUUGAAAAUGGAAAUAAGGUAAUCUGUACACCUGGAGUGCACCGCCACCAGCUGAGCAAGGGGGCAAUUUGAAGUACCUCCUUGUACCCACUGGCGGACCUAGAAAUUUUUUAGCGGAGGUGCAAUAUUGACUAAGUAUGAAAAAUGGUUUUUUGGAAUAAUCAUUUUUUCAAGAUAAUUUUUGACGGCUUUUAUUCCUUAUACAUCAAAUAAGAAAACUUGAUUUUAUGGGAUUUUAGUAUGAAAUAUAUAUUAACUUAAUGAGCCACCAGCUGAGCAAAUGGGCAAUUUGAAGUACCUUAAUAGAUCCGCCACAAUACAUAAGGGUACAUAUCAAAAUGUAAAGUAUUUUAAAUAAUAUACAUAUAGAAAUACAUAACAGUAUAUUAUCUUUAAAAUAUAAAAAAAAAAAUGAGUAGGGGCCCGGGACCACAUUGGUCCCAGUGUCGCUCUGCCCCUGGCUGAAACAGAUUCUAAGAGAGAGCAGAACUCUUGAGCCGUUCCUGUUCUUGCUAGGAUUGUUGUUGCUACAGAUUGGAUGAGUUAAGAGGUUGUGUACUCUAGGAAGAUGGCUCCAGGUAUGUCUUCGUGUCUCUACGUAUUUCAGAUUGUGUGAAAGAUCUUGAAUAUCUAUAAUAUAGAAAUCUAAUAGUUGAUAUCAGAGCACAUGGUUAUUCACACACACUGAAAUCGUUGUUCAAGCAUGCCUACUCUUACUGUUUCUGUAUGCGAAUUUGUUUUUGUAUGCGAAUAGAUGCCGUGACAAAUAUCAUUACUGUUAUCACUUUUUGAUUUCAAUAUUGAUCUAGUGGUGGUAGAGUUGGCCCCGUAUUUGAACUGAAUCAAUUGAGGAAAUUGAAGAUUUCUAUAAAGGAAAGGCUACUUUUAUUCAGAAAACUCGAAAGGAUUGUCAACCAUUGAUGUGUGCAUGAAUGGUCGAGAAAACCCUUUUCAUUGUAUAUAUGAUAUUCUUUAAACAAACUAAACAAACAGAAUCCAGAUGGUAAAACUUGGGAAAAGCAGUGAGUCCUAACACAACACAAUUCUGAAGGUGAUCAUGGUACAAAACUCAAAGUAGUAAAAUUUCGAUGCCUUCUUUUAGGUCUUACUAGAACUUCCUUGCACCCAAUCCAAAAAAUAAAAUUAAAAAUAAGAAAAACUUUGUAGCAUUCGAGUUUGAAGCCCAUAGGAACAUUGUAACAUAACACACUAAAUUUCUAUUUGGCAAUUGAAAUGACAGACCACUAUAUAUUCUUUUCCUGUAUCUACUUACAUAUAUGGAUAGAGAAGAGAAGGUACAAUUACAAAAGAAGAAAUUAACUCUGCUGCAGGCCUUUGCUACUACUUGGGUUCAAUCUUCGCCGAAACUGCGUAUCCACCACUGUAAUCAAAGGCACCAGUGCUGUCAUUCACUUCCUUUUUCGGCAAGCCAUCGUUGUAUGGAUGCUUAGGAGCUCCUUUUGAUGCUGCAAAUUCUGUGGCUGAUGAAGAUGCGGAUGUUGAGUUUGUGUUCAUGCCAUCAUUCUGCAGAAUGGUUUCAAUAGCCUUCACAAGCUCACUCAUUGUGGGGCGGUCUGCAGCUGAUUCUUCAACGCAUUGCAGGGCCAGCUCCAGGAAUCUCCCAAACCCAAUAAGGGUUCCAGAGUUUCGAAUGCUUCGAUCCAUUAACUCCCUCAAACCAUAGUGUUCUUCAUCAUUCUUGUCCAUCAUCAAUCGUACCUCACGGACGAUGUAUUUUCCCUUCUCAAUAGGCUGCCUAGCCGUUAUCAAUUCAAGCAUCACCACUCCAAAGCUGUAUACAUCACUCUUCUCAGUUAACUGUUGAGUCAUGUAGUAUUCAGGAUCAAGAUAUCCCUGCAAGAACAAAUAGAAACUUAAAGAGUAAAAACUCAAGAGUGUGUCAAUGGGAUGAAUAUAUGUUGAAAUGCUAAUAACGUAAAGCUUACCAGUGUGCCUUUGACCUGAGUUGAGACAUGCCCUUUUCCACCGUCAGCUACCAGCUUGGACAAGCCAAAAUCUGCAACCUUGGCGGUUAAAUGUUCGUCUAAUAGAAUGUUGGUGGACUUGACAUCUCUGUGAAUUAUAGGAGGAUUUGCAAGCUCAUGUAGGUAAGCUAGUCCUCUUGCCGAGCCAAGAGUGAUGCGGAGUCUCCUCUUCCAAUCAAGAUGAAUACCAGAUCUCCCUGCAAUUCAUAUUUAAGCAAAGGUGAAGUUGGUAACUAUGUCUAUUGCAAACAAGUUAUCUCUAUGCAAUAUGAAAUAGCUGAGAGUAAAAUCUUUGAACUAACCUGACAAGCUUUCCCUGAGUGUUCCAUUAGGCAUAAACUCAUAAACCAGCAUCUGUUCUCCUUGUUCAAAACAAAAUCCCAAAAGGCCAACAACAUUUUUGUGAUGAACUCGCGAGAGCAACUCGAUUUCAGUCUUGAACUCAAGGCCACCCUGCAUUGAUCCUUGCUGAGCUCUUUUGAUGGCCACCACUUGUCCAUCAGAAAUCAUUCCCCUGUAAACCUA
RNAcentral lists this long non-coding RNA (10619 nucleotides) under Prunus persica (peach). Its description in RNAcentral is "long non-coding RNA (PPER_LNC006676)". Lineage: Eukaryota; Viridiplantae; Streptophyta; Magnoliopsida; Rosales; Rosaceae. The record is from RNAcentral.